UACGUAGGGUGCAAGCGUUGUCCGGAAUUAUUGGGCGUAAAGAGCGUGUAGGCGGCCCGAUUAGUCCGCUGUGAAAGUCCAGGGCUCAACCCUGGAAUGCCGGUGGAAACUGUCGGGCUAGAGUCCGGAAGAGGCGAGUGGAAUUCCUGGUGUAGCGGUGAAAUGCGCAGAUAUCAGGAGGAACACCAAUGGCGAAGGCAGCUCGCUGGGACGGUACUGACGCUGAGGAGCGAAAGCGUGGGGAGCGAACAGG
RNAcentral lists this ribosomal RNA (253 nucleotides) under uncultured bacterium. RNAcentral's name for it is "partial 16S ribosomal RNA". It matches the Rfam family "Bacterial small subunit ribosomal RNA", at positions 524 to 776 of the family's 1533-position model. The record is from RNAcentral.